This 1001-nucleotide ribosomal RNA is filed under the name Vibrio proteolyticus. RNAcentral describes it as "bacterial SSU rRNA". It matches the Rfam family "Bacterial small subunit ribosomal RNA", at positions 49 to 1031 of the family's 1533-position model. Lineage: Bacteria; Pseudomonadati; Pseudomonadota; Gammaproteobacteria; Vibrionales; Vibrionaceae. The record is from RNAcentral.
CUACACAUGCAGUCGAGCGGAACGAGUUCACUGAACCUUCGGGGGACGUUAACGGCGUCGAGCGGCGGACGGGUGAGUAAUGCCUGGGAAAUUGCCCUGAUGUGGGGGAUAACCAUUGGAAACGAUGGCUAAUACCGCAUAAUAGCUUCGGCUCAAAGAGGGGGACCUUCGGGCCUCUCGCGUCAGGAUAUGCCCAGGUGGGAUUAGCUAGUUGGUGAGGUAAGGGCUCACCAAGGCGACGAUCCCUAGCUGGUCUGAGAGGAUGAUCAGCCACACUGGAACUGAGACACGGUCCAGACUCCUACGGGAGGCAGCAGUGGGGAAUAUUGCACAAUGGGCGCAAGCCUGAUGCAGCCAUGCCGCGUGUGUGAAGAAGGCCUUCGGGUUGUAAAGCACUUUCAGUCGUGAGGAAGGUAGUGUGUUUAAUAGAUGCAUUAUUUGACGUUAGCGACAGAAGAAGCACCGGCUAACUCCGUGCCAGCAGCCGCGGUAAUACGGAGGGUGCGAGCGUUAAUCGGAAUUACUGGGCGUAAAGCGCAUGCAGGUGGUGUGUUAAGUCAGAUGUGAAAGCCCGGGGCUCAACCUCGGAAUUGCAUUUGAAACUGGCAGACUAGAGUACUGUAGAGGGGGGUAGAAUUUCAGGUGUAGCGGUGAAAUGCGUAGAGAUCUGAAGGAAUACCGGUGGCGAAGGCGGCCCCCUGGACAGAUACUGACACUCAGAUGCGAAAGCGUGGGGAGCAAACAGGAUUAGAUACCCUGGUAGUCCACGCCGUAAACGAUGUCUACUUGGAGGUUGUGGCCUUGAGCCGUGGCUUUCGGAGCUAACGCGUUAAGUAGACCGCCUGGGGAGUACGGUCGCAAGAUUAAAACUCAAAUGAAUUGACGGGGGCCCGCACAAGCGGUGGAGCAUGUGGUUUAAUUCGAUGCAACGCGAAGAACCUUACCUACUCUUGACAUCCAGAGAACUUUCCAGAGAUGGAUUGGUGCCUUCGGGAACUCUG